GGGGGAUAACUAUUGGAAACGAUAGCUAAUACCGCAUAAGAGUAGAUGUUGCAUGACAUUUGCUUAAAAGGUGCAAUUGCAUCACUACCAGAUGGACCUGCGUUGUAUUAGCUAGUUGGUGGGGUAACGGCUCACCAAGGCGACGAUACAUAGCCGACCUGAGAGGGUGAUCGGCCACACUGGGACUGAGACACGGCCCAG
This 201-nucleotide ribosomal RNA is filed under the name uncultured Streptococcaceae bacterium. RNAcentral describes it as "partial 16S ribosomal RNA". It matches the Rfam family "Bacterial small subunit ribosomal RNA", at positions 138 to 334 of the family's 1533-position model. The record is from RNAcentral. Lineage: Bacteria; Bacillati; Bacillota; Bacilli; Lactobacillales; Streptococcaceae.